UGGGGAAUAUUGCACAAUGGGCGAAAGCCUGAUGCAGCGACGCCGCGUGAGGGAUGACGGCCUUCGGGUUGUAAACCUCUUUCAGCAGGGAAGAAGCGAAAGUGACGGUACCUGCAGAAGAAGCGCCGGCUAACUACGUGCCAGCAGCCGCGGUAAUACGUAGGGCGCAAGCGUUGUCCGGAAUUAUUGGGCGUAAAGAGCUCGUAGGCGGUUAGUCGCGUCUGCUGUGAAAACUCGAGGCUCAACCUCGGGCUUGCAGUGGGUACGGGCUGACUAGAGUGCGGUAGGGGUGACUGGAAUUCCUGGUGUAGCGGUGGAAUGCGCAGAUAUCAGGAGGAACACCGAUGGCGAAGGCAGGUCACUGGGCCGCAACUGACGCUGAGGAGCGAAAGCAUGGGGAGCGAACAGGAUUAGAUACCCUGGUAGUCCAUGCCGUAAACGUUGGGCACUAGGUGUGGGGUCCAUUUCCACGGAUUCCGUGCCGCAGCAAACGCAUUAAGUGCCCCGCCUGGGGAGUACGGCCGCAAGGCUAAAACUCAAAUGAAUUGACGGGGUCAUAGCUGUUUCCCU
This 570-nucleotide ribosomal RNA is filed under the name uncultured bacterium. RNAcentral's name for it is "partial 16S ribosomal RNA". It matches the Rfam family "Bacterial small subunit ribosomal RNA", at positions 355 to 1363 of the family's 1533-position model. The record is from RNAcentral.